GUGCUCACUUUGGCAGCACAUAUAUUAAAAUUGGAAAAAUACAGAGGUAACAUGUCCCCUUAACAAGGAUGAUAUGUAAAUUCAUGAAGUUUUCUAUAAAUAA
Small nuclear RNA from Lontra canadensis (Northern American river otter), 103 nucleotides. Lineage: Eukaryota; Metazoa; Chordata; Mammalia; Carnivora; Mustelidae. The record is from RefSeq and is a predicted model, not a curated record.